GACGAACGCUGGCGGCGUGCCUAAUACAUGCAAGUAGAACGCACAGUUUAUACCGUAGCUUGCUCCACCAUAAACUGUGAGUUGCGAACGGGUGAGUCACGCGUAGGUAACCUGCCUGGUAGCGGGGGAUAACUAUUGGAAACGAUAGCUAAUACCGCAUAAUAUUGAUUAUUGCAUGAUAAUUGAUUGAAAGAUGCUAUUGCAUCACUACCAGAUGGACCUGCGUUGUAUUAGCUAGUAGGUGAGGUAACGGCUCACCUAGGCGACGAUACAUAGCCGACCUGGGAGGGUGAUCGGCCACACUGGGACUGAGACACGGCCCAGACUCCUACGGGAGGCAGCAGUAGGGAAUCUUCGGCAAUGGACGAAAGUCUGACCGAGCAACGCCGCGGGAGGGAAGAAGGUUUUCGGAUCGGAAAGCUCUGUUGUAAGAGAAGAACGGGUGUGAGAGUGGAAAGUUCACACUGUGACGGUAUCUUACCAGAAAGGGACGGCUAACUACGUG
This 505-nucleotide ribosomal RNA is filed under the name uncultured bacterium. Its description in RNAcentral is "partial 16S ribosomal RNA". It matches the Rfam family "Bacterial small subunit ribosomal RNA", at positions 28 to 507 of the family's 1533-position model. The record is from RNAcentral.